Molecule: microRNA, 22 nt
Filed under: Canis lupus familiaris (dog)
Lineage: Eukaryota; Metazoa; Chordata; Mammalia; Carnivora; Canidae
Source: RNAcentral
UGCUCAGGAUGGCGCUGAUUAC